UGUAAGCCAGGUUGGUUUCUAUCUUUUUAAAUAUAAAAUAUUUUAGUACGAAAGGAUCAAAUAUUUUAAUUAAAUUAAUUUUAAAGAAUAUUAUUAAUUAAAUUUAAAUUUUUAAUAUAGUAAAAAUAAUUAUUAAUAUAAAUUAAUUAAUUAAUAA
Molecule: ribosomal RNA, 157 nt
Filed under: Scopula vigilata
Lineage: Eukaryota; Metazoa; Arthropoda; Insecta; Lepidoptera; Geometridae
Description: partial 16S ribosomal RNA
Source: RNAcentral